AUGGGCAUGCAGUCUAUGAUGGCUGUCCGGUGCACGAACCUUGUCAACCCUGUAUGCGACUGGCUUGGUGAGAUCUACGAGCCUGCCUCCAGGGAAUUCGUAAUUCCUGGACGCGGAAGACUUCCGUUGAACGAGAUAUCCGUGUUCUGCACUUUGGGUGUGCCUCGUGGACAUAUCAAAGUCCCGUAUGAGGUCAAUAAUGAGAUUGAGGAAGCUAUGUUCGCCCGUUUGUUUCCUGGAUUGGAUUCCAUGCCGAACACGUCUGUACUGGCAGAUUCGCUGCAGGCCAUGACGACGCACGGAGAUGUUUUCAAGAUGAAGCUACUCAUGUACCUCAUCUCAGUUGUUUUCGCACCGACCACUUCCCUUCGCCCAAGCAACAAAUGUUUCCCCAUCCUGGCGAAUCUGAAAAAUGUGAAGAACAUGAACUGGUGUAAGUUUAUUGCUGACUUUCUCCACGAUGCUUUCAAAAACAAGAUGUACCAGAAGGGUUGUCGACUGCAUUUAAUGCUCAUGUAUGUCGACUGUCUUGAUCUGUCCAUCGUGGAUUUCUCUGGGGUAGGAGGCCCGCCGCCUACGCACAAGUUUGCUGUUUCUGCGUGGACCAUCAAUGCUGUCAAGGUUGUGCUUGCCGCAGACAGGGCAACUGAUACCACAUAUGGAAAACUACAUCUGAUGGCCAAGCAUGCUAUAGACUACAGCGUGUUUGGGGGGCCUCAAAAAUUUGGAAAGUGGAUGGACGUGCACUCAGCUCCGUCUUGCCCUUCUGAGGCGAGGGCACCAGUUGAGCAUCUAAUUGGGUAG
RNAcentral lists this ribosomal RNA (804 nucleotides) under Triticum aestivum (bread wheat). RNAcentral describes it as "partial small subunit ribosomal RNA". The record is from RNAcentral. Lineage: Eukaryota; Viridiplantae; Streptophyta; Magnoliopsida; Poales; Poaceae.